AUUGAACGCUGGCGGCAUGCCUUACACAUGCAAGUCGAACGGUAACAGGUUAAGCUGACGAGUGGCGAACGGGUGAGUAAUGUAUCGGAACGUGCCCAGUCGUGGGGGAUAACUACUCGAAAGAGUGGCUAAUACCGCAUACGACCUGAGGGUGAAAGCGGGGGACCGUAAGGCCUCGCGCGAUUGGAGCGGCCGAUAUCAGAUUAGGUAGUUGGUGGGGUAAAGGCUCACCAAGCCGACGAUCUGUAGCUGGUCUGAGAGGACGACCAGCCACACUGGGACUGAGACACGGCCCAGACUCCUACGGGAGGCAGCAGUGGGGAAUUUUGGACAAUGGACGCAAGUCUGAUCCAGCCAUGCCGCGUGCGGGAAGAAGGCC
This 379-nucleotide ribosomal RNA is filed under the name uncultured bacterium. Its description in RNAcentral is "bacterial SSU rRNA". It matches the Rfam family "Bacterial small subunit ribosomal RNA", at positions 30 to 416 of the family's 1533-position model. The record is from RNAcentral.